Molecule: ribosomal RNA, 490 nt
Filed under: uncultured bacterium
Lineage: Bacteria
Description: partial 16S ribosomal RNA
Rfam family: Bacterial small subunit ribosomal RNA
Source: RNAcentral
AUUGAACGCUGGCGGCAGGCCUAACACAUGCAAGUCGAACGGUAACAGGAAGCAGCUUGCUGCUUUGCUGACGAGUGGCGGACGGGUGAGUAAUGUCUGGGAAACUGCCUGAUGGAGGGGGAUAACUACUGGAAACGGUAGCUAAUACCGCAUAACGUCGCAAGACCAAAGAGGGGGACCUUAGGGCCUCUUGCCAUCGGAUGUGCCCAGAUGGGAUUAGCUAGUAGGUGGGGUAACGGCUCACCUAGGCGACGAUCCCUAGCUGGUCUGAGAGGAUGACCAGCCACACUGGAACUGAGACACGGUCCAGACUCCCACGGGAGGCAGCAGUGGGGAAUAUUGCACAAUGGGCGCAAGCCUGAUGCAGCCAUGCCGCGUGUAUGAAGAAGGCCUUCGGGUUGUAAAGUACUUUCAGCGGGGAGGAAGGGAGUAAAGUUAAUACCUUUGCUCAUUGACGUUACCCGCAGAAGAAGCACCGGCUAACUCCGUG